RNAcentral lists this transfer RNA (70 nucleotides) under Dipodomys ordii (Ord's kangaroo rat). It matches the Rfam family "tRNA". From Rfam's summary of the family: Transfer RNA (tRNA) molecules are approximately 80 nucleotides in length. Their secondary structure includes four short double-helical elements and three loops (D, anti-codon, and T loops). Lineage: Eukaryota; Metazoa; Chordata; Mammalia; Rodentia; Heteromyidae. The record is from Rfam by way of RNAcentral.
GGGAUUAUGGCUCAGUGGUAGAGUGCUUGCCUUGCAUGCAUGAGGCCCUGGGUUCAAUUCCUCAGCACCA